AAAAAGUUGGGAAAAAAUAUUGGGAAUCAGUCAGCAUCAAUAUAUACAAAUUACUAGUUACAAAUGCUUAGGAAGUAGACCUCAAAGGAUAGAGACAGAGAAUCCAGUUCUUUUGCUUAAAUCUUUUUUUUUUCUAGUUCAUCUCUUCUUGGUUCACUGAAGCUGGUCAUAACCUAACUCGUGGUGAAAAGCUUUCGCUCAGUUCGUUCGUCCCCGUUUGCUGCCCCGGAAGAGGUAUAUUUCUUCUGAUUCUAAAUCGUUUAGUUGGUUUUCUACUCGUGAAUGGAACCUUCUGUUGAUUAUUUUCUUCUUUUUCUUGAAUGAUUUUUCUCUCUUGGUUUGUUGUUUAUGUCUGAUGUGUUGGUUUUUUUAGAGUCGUUAACUCGAUUUUGAUGCUACAAGUCAGCUGAGUCUCCAUUUAGUUAUGCUUGAGUAGUUACUGUUCUUUUGGUUUCAACUCGAGUUUUGAUAGCUGUUUGGUAUGUUCCUUCUCUUUUCGCUCAUGUUUUGGACUGGUGUUCUCUUUCGUUUGAUUCCGAAUGUUAGAGUCUCAUCGAUAUUGGAGUAAUAUUGUAGUUUUUAUCCGUUCUAAUAUAACUUGAUUAUUAUUUAUGUUCUGUUUCGAAAAACUGGUAUGCUUUAGCCUUUUGAAGUUAGUCAUUCGACUCAGUAUCAACAUGCUCUUGUGUUUAUUAGAGUAUUAUAUAGUCUCUGUAUUUAUUUGGAUAGUUACUGAUCCCUUCUCUCCGCCCAUCUCAGUUUUGUUUCAUGUUCCUCGGUUUGAAAUGGUCUAGCUUUUGUCUAUUUGAUAGAGUAUCUGUCUGCGGUUAGAGUUCCCGUGGCAUCUCGAAAUUCAUUUAUCCAAUAUAGUAUAUGUUAAUGGUUUAGUGUUCUGUGGCCUAGAAAUCAUUUUUUUCCAGCAUGCUGUUGUGCUAGCUAAUCAUAGCAAUCUCAUUUAUUUCAUUUGGUUUACAAUAAUUUCUAGUAGGGAAUACAUUGUUUUCCAUGAUUAGCAAAAUGGGUUUCUUUCCAGUUAUAUACUAUGACUUCUUUUCUUUAAAUGAUGGUGCAUAAAGUAUAGUUUGGCAGUGAUUCUUGGCUUGGUUGUCUCAGUUUUUGAUAAACUCAUUGUGGUUAGUCAUUGUUUGAAAUUUGAUCCUAUGGCUUUCUUAGCAAGAGAAUAUGUUCAGAUUAUUUGUGUCUUCCAUGAGAUUUCGUCUAGUUGUGUUUAUCCAUUCACUGAUGCCAAUUUUCCUUGCAUUUUCAAAUUGUUGGAUUAGUUUACAGUUUAUGGAUGUUUUAUUUAUUUACUGUAUAAUGAUUUUAACUCAUUAUUACUCUUUCGUUUGCAUGUGAAAUAUGCCCGAGUUCUACAUGAACUCCUACGUUCUCCCUUGCAUCUGGAAAUAGGCCAAGGAGGCCCAAUUCUCUCUUAGCGAGUCAACUAGAUCAAUAAAUUUGAAGAAUAGGUUCCCUAAAGUCGAUGUACAGGUGCAGCAGCGGCCUCACAAGGCUGAAAAUGAGUGGCGAAAAUAGGCCCCAAAGCCCUAAUUUCAGUUUUGCAUUUGUGUUGUAAUUGGGUCAAAGGUCCAUAUAUUUUUAGUAUUACUAUGCUAGUUUUAGAACAGGGAAUUUGGGCAAAAAGCCCACUUAUCUUUGGCAGAUUUUUUGUUAGUUUUAGGACACGUACAGGUG
RNAcentral lists this long non-coding RNA (1695 nucleotides) under Solanum tuberosum (potato). RNAcentral describes it as "long non-coding RNA (STUB_LNC010596)". Lineage: Eukaryota; Viridiplantae; Streptophyta; Magnoliopsida; Solanales; Solanaceae. The record is from RNAcentral.